This 326-nucleotide ribosomal RNA is filed under the name uncultured eukaryote. RNAcentral's name for it is "partial 18S ribosomal RNA". It matches the Rfam family "Eukaryotic small subunit ribosomal RNA", at positions 1470 to 1796 of the family's 1831-position model. The record is from RNAcentral.
CCCUUAGAUGUUCUGGGCCGCACGCGCGCCACACUGAAGGGAUCAGCGUGUUUUCCCUUUCCGAGAGGAACGGGUAACCCGCUGAACCCCCUUCGUGGUAGGGAUCGGAGCUUGCAAUUGUUCUCCGUGAACCAGGAAUUCCCAGUAAGCGCAAGUCAUAAGCUUGCGUUGAUUACGUCCCUGCCCUUUGUACACACCGCCCGUCGCUACUACCGAUUGAACGUUUUAGUGAGGUAUUUGGACUGGGCCUUGGGAGGUUUCGGCCUCCCUUGUUGCUCGGAAAGACUCCCAAACUUGAGCGUUUAGAGGAAGUAAAAGUCGUAACA